This is a long non-coding RNA of Pleuronectes platessa (European plaice), 2761 nucleotides long. RefSeq lists it as uncharacterized. The record is from RefSeq and is a predicted model, not a curated record. The transcript has 3 exons. Lineage: Eukaryota; Metazoa; Chordata; Actinopteri; Pleuronectiformes; Pleuronectidae.
CAUUCUCACAAGUCAUGAGCUGAGCUGGUGAAGAUGUGGUUCCUCAAAGUCUUCAUCGCUCCUUGAUCUUAAAUGUACAAGAUCUAAAUAAGCCUGGAUGGGUGUGGAUGUGAGGGCGCUGUCCAGAACUCAACAGACUGAAAAACACCGUCAGGUUACCUUUGUGCUGAUGGGUCAGUAAAUAACAGAUGGAUGAUGAAUGGUGACUAUGAGUAAGUCUGGAGCCAAGGCAAUAAGAUGGAGAACUUCAGUCGUGACAGUAAGUCUCAAAAUAUAUUUAUUAGAUAAUAAUAAUAAUGUUGUUGCUAUUAAACCUUAUAUUAUUGUAUUGUGACUGUACAAUUGCAUUACACACACACACACACACACACACUUUACAUUCUAUAUUUGUUAUGUUUUUUGACUAAUCAUUCAAACCUAAACCUGUGUACUUAUGUAUUCUUGACACAUCAUCGCUAAACUUUUUUUUCCCUCAAAUAUUUGCACAAUUCAUUUAUACAGUCCAAUGCAUUGUAAUGACUACUGUAUGAACAUAGCUUUUAAUAUCACUGCUUUAUAUUUUUGGGAUGAAAAAUAAUUUCUUUUGAAUUCAAAAAGUUUUUUUAAUUUUCUUAAUGAAUUCUCAGGUAAAAGUUACAACUAAUUUUGAAAAAUAGGAUGACAUUUUUUAGCCUAAUGACUUCAUGAUUUGAAUUGUCAUCAGUGAGGAGAUACAUGUGAUUGUUUUUAAGAAGGAUUCAGAUCUGAGGCUGAGUUCGUGGUGGAGAAUGAGCACUUUCUCUUUUAUUUAAGAAAACAUUUGACAAAGCGAUGGAAAGUUUUGAAACAGCUCGAUCACAUUGGACGACCACACACGGCUUUAGAGCCUAAACUGAAAUCCAAUUUAAUCUGGCAAUGUUAAUCCUACCUAACCCUAGCGCCUAUUUACUCUGAUUAAAUGGAAAAAACUUACAAAACAUUUAAAUUACCAACAAGCAAGUUAUAUCCAGCAGAUAUUUGCUAAAAUUAUCAAAAAUACAUUUUCAAAUAAAACAAAAAUGUAGAGUAAAAGAAUCAAAGUACAAUGUUGUGCAAUAGUAGUAGUAGAUUUGACGUUGGCUAAUUAUUAAUAAUCAUGAGAAAUGAUUAUUAAAAUAGAAAUUAUUUAUAAAAAAUAAUUAAAAAUUAUAAAGCUAGUAAUUAAGAAUAGUAAAAUAAUUAAUUAGAAAUGAUACGGUUAUCAAUUAAUAAUGGUUAAAUAAUUAAUGAAAACAAUAAAAUUAUCAAUUAAGAAUGAAACAAUCUGUAAUUAAUGCUUAUCGUUGCGGGGCACCACCCUGGUUACAGGGACCAACUAGUCAAACUAUACUUAUCAGUCUCAAGUGAUAAAAGUUAAAUUAAUAAUCUCAAUAUUUAAUAUUAAUGAUUAUAUAAUAAACAAUGAAGGGUUUUAAGUUCGAGCACAGGCUAUAGUAAUCCAGCUGUAUUCACAUACACAUGUACAAAUAAUCACAGAAAUACAAAUACUUUAAUUACAAAAGUAUUUAUUAAAAAGGGGAAAUAAAGUUAAUGUUAAUUCAAUGAUUCUUCAUUUAACAAAACCAAUAUUUCAAAGAUGGCAACAGCAGCAGCAGCACUUAUCACAAUGGUCACACAGGUAAUACUGGGUAUCUACUGGUGUGUGUGUGUGUGUGGUCGUGUGUGUCUGCCUGUCUGUGUCUCUAUGUGUGUGUGUGGGUGUGUGUGUCUAAAGAGAAAGGGGAGUGGCUAUGGCGUAAUGACGAGAUCACGUGGGGACGAAGCCUGGCCAGGAUCAAGAUGUUACGUUCACAUACUUUCAAGAUGGAGGUUUAUGAAUGAAGCCACGUUGCGAAAAGCAAAAUGGCUGCCGGUCACUGAACUUAACAAAGGGGAUCUUUAGACAAAGAUUUCUUAUCUCCUGGUUUUGGCGCCGAAUGGCGUCGAGAUGUAUUAAGGCUCUUUAAAUCUAGAAUUUUCUAUGCCACAUGAAAUAUGUAAGUGUAGGUCGGGACGUGUGUAAAAACAGGUUUAGGAGAAAAGAGAGAGAGAGGGAGAGAUAGAGAGAUCAGGAAAGCUCUCAAAACAUCGUCAGAGACAAACUUCCGGCGAAGCGGGCAGUCCAGUUACGUGAGAUGUAUCUUUUAACAGAUGUAAAUCUCCGCACAAUAUCUCUGACGGUAACACUUUAAAAAGGGAAGUGCCGGCUUAUUACGCGCGCUUCUCAGAACAUAGUAGACAAAGGAACCGGAUGUGACGUCUCCAGUUCGCCACGCGUUACACGGCUAAAAACAGAUCAGCGAUCUACAAACAAACACUCAAAUAAACAUGACAAGCUAAGUAUUUAAACUAGUCUCUGCCCAGACAAUAAAGCCUCUUACUGUGACCUUCGCGGUGUUGCUUGCGCGUGGCGCGGAUUUUCCAGAAGUCCAGUGAAUCUCGUUGUUAACCUCAGGAUGCCUGCACGAACGGCGAAUUUUCCUGGAAAACAAAUGAGUGAAGUCCUGGCCUCUUAAGCGGGGCUCCGCUGGGUCUCGUGGUUGCAACGGAGGUCAGCGCUGGGCCGAAUAGAGCGAACUUCUCUUGCUCUUGGAACGGAAUUCGGCCUCGUCUCUUCUGCGACAGAAUGAUGCUUUGUCCUGCAGGGAUUAACAGCUGUGGCGCUGUUGUGGGGAUCGUGAAAAAGAAAGUCUGUGAUCUCGGCCGGUGAGUGGACUUCCUUUGGCGAUCUCCUUCAAGUUAAAAUAACAAAAAGUCCUAUCAA